Molecule: long non-coding RNA, 1719 nt
Organism: Bombus impatiens (common eastern bumble bee)
Lineage: Eukaryota; Metazoa; Arthropoda; Insecta; Hymenoptera; Apidae
Exons: 3
Source: RefSeq, a predicted model, not a curated record
GUUUUUUUUAUAUCAGACUCCGUAUUUUAUUUUCAUAGUAUUAAAUUUUUGUAAUCAUAUGAAAGUAUUAAAUAGAACUAAAUAUACUUAAUCAAUCGAUAUAUAGAUGCUAUAGUAAAUACACUGCGAUACAAGCGCAUUUGUAACCAUUGUAUAUAUGUAAGUAGCUGUGACGCGAAUGUUUGAGGUUAACCACUGAAAUUACUUCCCAAAGAGGUUUCCCAGACUUUAACUCGAGAACCUUCCUCGUUAGUAAUUUGAAGAGCUAGAAAGCAUUACGCCAGUCUUAUCUUCGAGUUCAUCGACCUCGUCGCUUUUAAUCUCUUUUGACAAUGAGUGUAAAGGUACUCUGUCCUAUAGAAAAUUAUACCACCUGCCAUUCUCCUAUAAAAUUAACUAUUCUCAUCAAACAAUCUUCCAUGAGAAACUCUGUUCUCGUACACCCCAAGAACUCUUGCUAAUCUUCCAAUUUCUUAAUCAUACACGAUCUCCUCAUCAACCUAACCUCAAAUUGCUACUCUAUCGAUUCUUCGUUCCAGCAGGUUACAAUGAUAUAAAAAAAAACCAUCCAACCUAAUUGAAUUCGCACCCUAUGAGUACAAUGUGAAGAGCAAUUAAAGGGACGACAAAGUGGACAGGGAGGCUCUCUGAAAAUGUUCACCUUCCUCAAAGAAAUCGCACUGAAAGCGCAGAGAGGCCAAAAGACAAACGGAAGAGAGCCAGAUGGCUGGCUGAACGUUGUAAAAGCUCGAGCAAAGGAAUUGCUUUGACUUCGAUCACGUUAGCCAUGGACUAGCCAUUUCCAGUACAACGUUCGAGAAGGACCGUGAAAGUUUUCGCCGAAAUAGGAGAGAUGUUCGACGCGUUCGAAGAAAGCAGGCGUUUCGUUUCAAAGGCGUCGCACGCCGAUCGAUCGACCUUCCUACCUUCCUUGAAACAGGAACGCGUUUUCGGGCUCACCUUGCACCUGCAAGAAGGCAAAGGGCAAGGGAGAUUGAUAGAUCGAUAGAUGGGUGGGGAUAGGGUGGAGAAUUGGGAUAGAAGCGGUGGUAAUGAAUGGAAAUAUUUCAGAAUAUUUCUGAACAGAGAUAUAAGGAUCCUAGUUUCGUUGCUUAUCGUUCGAAUCCCCUAAAUCAGAGUCGAUAAGUAAAACUCGAUGCAAAAACGCUUCUGAUAAAAAGAAACGUAUCUUUCCUCGAGAAGGAUGUAAUCUCGGUAGCAGCAAAUAUAAACGAUACACUGGAGGAACUGAGACACUCGGCUUAAACGAGUUACCGACAGAGUUAGUGAAGAGCGACCGAGUAAUUGAAGGCACUUUGGUCAGCGACUUAACUUAUUUCCCUCAUUUAACGGAUCGAAAGUACACAGACGAAAAGACGCAUAUACGAGCCAACUAAACAGAAGAGAAGAAACCACGUAAAGGUAGAGAUACAGGAGAUAAAUUGUAAAAGAAUAAUUAAAAAGAAGAUGUCGCCGCAACGAAAAACCGAUUCCGAUAUCUGAGCAAACGAAUACUUCCAAACAGGAAAAAACCGGUGAAACCCAGCAUCGAUAUCUAAAACGCAUCGAGGGAGGAUCGUGUUUCUAUUGUCAAUCGGUCUUUCGUUCAAUCGAACGAUCACCGACAGGUGUUUUACAUGAAAGCGUCUAUAAAAAGCGAGAGAAAAAAAAGGGGGAAAGGGGAAGAGGCGAAACACAGAGGAAAAAAAGAAACAGCAG